RNAcentral lists this ribosomal RNA (542 nucleotides) under uncultured archaeon. Its description in RNAcentral is "bacterial SSU rRNA". It matches the Rfam family "Archaeal small subunit ribosomal RNA", at positions 457 to 997 of the family's 1478-position model. The record is from RNAcentral.
GCCAGCCGCCGCGGUAACACCGGCGGCCCGAGUGGUGAUCGUGAUUAUUGGGUCUAAAGGGUCCGUAGCCGGUUUGGUCAGUCCUCCGGGAAAUCUGAUAGCUCAACUAUUAGGCUUUCGGGGGAUACUGCCAGACUUGGAACCGGGAGAGGUAAGAGGUACUACAGGGGUAGGAGUGAAAUCUUGUAAUCCCUGUGGGACCACCUGUGGCGAAGGCGUCUUACCAGAACGGGUUCGACGGUGAGGGACGAAAGCUGGGGGCACGAACCGGAUUAGAUACCCGGGUAGUCCCAGCCGUAAACGAUGCUCGCUAGGUGUCAGGCAUGGCGCGACCGUGUCUGGUGCCGCAGGGAAGCCGUGAAGCGAGCCACCUGGGAAGUACGGCCGCAAGGCUGAAACUUAAAGGAAUUGGCGGGGGAGCACAACAACGGGUGGAGCCCUGCGGUUUAAUUGGACUCAACGCCGGACAACUCACCGGGGGCGACAGCAAUAUGUAGGCCAAGCUGAAGACUUUGCCUGAAUCGCUGAGAAGAGGUGCAUGG